This 329-nucleotide ribosomal RNA is filed under the name uncultured bacterium. Its description in RNAcentral is "bacterial SSU rRNA". It matches the Rfam family "Bacterial small subunit ribosomal RNA", at positions 568 to 898 of the family's 1533-position model. The record is from RNAcentral.
CGUGUAGGCGGUGCGGUAAGUUGGGCGUGAAAUCCCCGAGACUUAACUCGGGUGGGCCGUUCAAGACUGCCGUGCUAGGGUGCGGGAGAGGGAAGUGGAAUUUCCGGUGUAGCGGUGAAAUGCGUAGAUAUCGGGAGGAACACCUGCGGCGAAGGCGGCUUCCUGGACCGUAACCGACGCUGAGGCGCGAAAGCUAGGGGAGCAAACAGGAUUAGAUACCCUGGUAGUCCUAGCCCUAAACGAUGAGCACUGGGUGUGGCCCCUCACGGGGCCGUGCCGAAGCUAACGCAUUAAGUGCUCCGCCUGGGGAGUACGGUCGCAAGGCUGAA